RNAcentral lists this ribosomal RNA (639 nucleotides) under uncultured bacterium. Its description in RNAcentral is "bacterial SSU rRNA". It matches the Rfam family "Bacterial small subunit ribosomal RNA", at positions 788 to 1427 of the family's 1533-position model. The record is from RNAcentral.
UGGUAGUNCACGCCGUAAACGAUGAGUGCUAGGUGUUAGGCCCUUUCCGGGGCUUAGUGCCGCAGCUAACGCAUUAAGCACUCCGCCUGGGGAGUACGACCGCAAGGUUGAAACUCAAAGGAAUUGACGGGGGCCCGCACAAGCGGUGGAGCAUGUGGUUUAAUUCGAAGCAACGCGAAGAACCUUACCAGGUCUUGACAUCCCGAUGCCCGCUCUAGAGAUAGAGUUUUACUUCGGUACAUCGGUGACAGGUGGUGCAUGGUUGUCGUCAGCUCGUGUCGUGAGAUGUUGGGUUAAGUCCCGCAACGAGCGCAACCCUUAUUGUUAGUUGCCAUCAUUCAGUUGGGCACUCUAGCGAGACUGCCGGUAAUAAACCGGAGGAAGGUGGGGAUGACGUCAAAUCAUCAUGCCCCUUAUGACCUGGGCUACACACGUGCUACAAUGGCUGGUACAACGAGUCGCAAGUCGGUGACGGCAAGCUAAUCUCUUAAAGCCAGUCUCAGUUCGGAUUGUAGGCUGCAACUCGCCUACAUGAAGUCGGAAUCGCUAGUAAUCGCGGAUCAGCACGCCGCGGUGAAUACGUUCCCGGGCCUUGUACACACCGCCCGUCACACCACGAGAGUUUGUAACACCCGAANU